Molecule: ribosomal RNA, 301 nt
Filed under: uncultured bacterium
Lineage: Bacteria
Description: partial 16S ribosomal RNA
Rfam family: Bacterial small subunit ribosomal RNA
Source: RNAcentral
CAGUCGCCGCGGGAAUACGAGGGGUGCAAGCGUUAUUCGGAUUGAUUGGGUGUAAAGGGUGUGCAGACGGCUCAUUAAGUCACUUGUUAAAUUCUUCGGCCUAACUGAAGGUCUGCAAGUGAUACUGAUGAGCUAGAGGGUGGAAGAGAGAAGUGGAAUUCUCGGAGUAGCGGUAAAAUGCGUAGAUCUCGAGAGGAACACCUGUGGCGAAAGCGGCUCACCGGACCAUUUCUGACGCUGAUGCACGAAAGCUAGGGGAGCAAACAGGAUUAGAUACCCCCGUAGUCCCUGUCUCUUAUAC